Non-coding RNA from Podarcis lilfordi (Lilford's wall lizard), 69 nucleotides. NCBI's taxonomy places the organism in Eukaryota, Metazoa, Chordata, Lepidosauria, Squamata, Lacertidae. The record is from the annotation of a GenBank genome assembly.
GCUGUAGCUCAGUGACAGAGCAUUUGCCUUGCAUGCAGAAUGUCCCAGGUUCAAUCCCCAGCGUCUCCA